UGCUUUUAGAUGAGUCUGCGUCUGAUUAGCUAGAUGGUGGGGUAACGGCUUACCAUGGCGACGAUCAGUAGUCGGCCUGAGAGGGUGACCGGCCACAUUGGGACUGAGACACGGCCCAGACUCCUACGGGAGGCAGCAGUGGGGGAUAUUGCACAAUGGGGGGAACCCUGAUGCAGCGACGCCGCGUGGGCGAUGGAGUGCUUCGGCAUGUAAAGCCCUAUCAGCAGGGAAGAAAAUGACGGUACCUGACUAAGAAGCCCCGGCUAAAUACGUGCCAGCAGCCGCGGUAAUACGUAUGGGGCAAGCGUUAUCCGGAUUUACUGGGUGUAAAGGGAGCGUAGGCGGCCUGGCAAGCCUGAUGUGAAAUACCGGGGCCCAACCCCGGGGCUGCAUUGGGAACUGCCAGGCUGGAGUGCCGGAGAGGCAGGCGGAAUUCCUAGUGUAGCGGUGAAAUGCGUAGAUAUUAGGAGGAACACCAGUGGCGAAGGCGGCCUGCUGGACGGUGACUGACGCUGAGGCACGAAAGCGUGGGUAUCGAACAGGAUUAGAUACCCUGGUAGUCCACGCAGUAAACGAUGAAUGCUUGCUGUCCGGGCAGAGAUAUGCCUGGGGGGCGAAGCGAAAGCGAUAAGCAUUCCACCUGGGGAGUACGCCGGCAACGGUGAAACUCAAAGGAAUUGACGGGGGCCCGCACAAGCGGAGGAACAUGUGGUUUAAUUCGAUGAUACGCGAGGAACCUUACCCGGGCUCAAACGAGAGACGGCAGGGGCAGAGACGCCCCUUUCCCUCGGGACGUCUUCCGAGGUGCUGCAUGGUUGUCGUCAGCUCGUGCCGUGAGGUGUCGGCUUAAGUGCCAUAACGAGCGCAACCCCCGCGUGCAGUUGCCAGCAGGAAAGGCUGGGGACUCUGCACGGACUGCCGGCGCAAGCCGCGAGGAAGGCGGGGAUGACGUCAAAUCAGCACGGCCCUUACGUCCGGGGCGACACACGUGUUACAAUGGGGGGUACAGCGGGAAGCCAGGCGGCGACGCCGAGCGGAACCCGAAAGCCCCUCUCAGUUCGGAUCGGAGUCUGCAACCCGACUUCGUGAAGCUGGAUUCGCUAGUAAUCGCGCAUCAGCCAUGGCGCGGUGAAUACGUUCCCGGGCCUUGUACUCACCGCCCGUCA
This 1166-nucleotide ribosomal RNA is filed under the name uncultured bacterium. Its description in RNAcentral is "bacterial SSU rRNA". It matches the Rfam family "Bacterial small subunit ribosomal RNA", at positions 216 to 1399 of the family's 1533-position model. The record is from RNAcentral.